Long non-coding RNA from Gallus gallus (chicken), 1151 nucleotides. The record is from Ensembl. Lineage: Eukaryota; Metazoa; Chordata; Aves; Galliformes; Phasianidae.
CGUUGGAGGAAGCGCUUUCCUCGGGGAGUCCGACACAGCACCCGAGAGACUGCUCGGCGUCCGCAGCGCCCUUCGAGCGGCCGGGCAGCGCCCUCCAUCCCCCCGUCCAAUGACGCCCCACGGGAUUUCGAUCGCCAGGUCAACCGCAGCUUUCACGUUGGGUGGAAGUGUGGAUUUGCAGUCUUCUGGUUCUGCCUUCAGAAAUACCCCGUGUGCCAUCCAUGCUGCAGAACACGUUCUGCCUGAGGGUGCCCGCGAAGCAUGAGUGACGCAAUGAGCACAGCUGAGUGAGCUAGCUGGAUGAGCUGGAGAAGAGCUGAAAGCAAGCAGGGGGAGGAGGGGAGAACAACCUCUCAAAACCACAACAAAUGUUUGCCAAAAUGGAGCGUGUAUACUUACCAAGGAAUAAGUUACAGAUGCUGGGGAAGAGAGUUCUAGGAGAUGUCUAGCACAUCCAGCUAACUCAAAUGAGCUGCACCAUCUUACUCAGAGGCCUGUACUUUUCAGUAGCAGACCAGAUAUUCAGGCUUUUCAUUCCCUCCCUGGCUCUGCCCCUAGCUCUGACACAAAUCAAAUCUACAAAAGCACAUUGUCCUUACCUCAACUGUGUGCCAGCCUGGACAUGUUCAAAUGAAAACCUGGGCUACGCUGUGAUCUUUGCUCUUGCUACCACGAUACGUGCAGUGAAGAGGGAGAUUGCCUCAGAUACAUCUGGAAUACAGCAAUUCAAAGCAACCCCCUCUCAUCUUUGAUUUGAAUUUGCUGUGCUUUCCAUCAUCGCCAAAGGGGAGCUCCUACCUCUGACACACAGGAAGAGGAAUCCUUAACACCUGAUAAAACUCAGAGCUCAUCACCUCUGACACUACUGCAAUUGGAAGGUCUCUGCGUUCUGUUGGUCAAACUGCAAAGGGUUUCUGCAGGGCUGCUCGUUCGGGUUUUUCUCUUUCCUCCGUUUGCCUCGCUGGAAAGGACAAAGUUCACAUUAGGUUUGUUUGCGUUUUCUAGCUAGUGUGAAGGCCUGUGUAUUUGCUUUGCCUGUUGAUCACCUAGCAGGUAUUGCAGUCUCCAUAAAAUGUCAACGUCACAUAAAAUAGUUAAUUAUACAAAGAAUUGCAUGCGAUCCUUGCCAGAAGGAAAGCAGUUCAAUCCAG